RNAcentral lists this ribosomal RNA (492 nucleotides) under uncultured bacterium. RNAcentral's name for it is "partial 16S ribosomal RNA". It matches the Rfam family "Bacterial small subunit ribosomal RNA", at positions 28 to 507 of the family's 1533-position model. The record is from RNAcentral.
GAUGAACGCUAGCUACAGGCUUAACACAUGCAAGUCGAGGGGAAACGACAUCGAAAGCUUGCUUUUGAUGGGCGUCGACCGGCGCACGGGUGAGUAACGCGUAUCCAACCUGCCCACCACUUGGGGAUAACCUUGCGAAAGUAAGACUAAUACCCAAUGAUAUCCCACGAAGACAUCUGAAUGGGAUUAAAGAUUUAUCGGUGAUGGAUGGGGAUGCGUCUGAUUAGCUUGUUGGCGGGGUAACGGCCCACCAAGGCAACGAUCAGUAGGGGCUCUGAGAGGAAGGUCCCCCACAUUGGAACUGAGACACGGUCCAAACUCCUACGGGAGGCAGCAGUGAGGAAUAUUGGGCAAGGGGCGAGAGCCUGAACCAGCCAAGUAGCGUGCAGGAAGACGGCCCUAUGGGUUGUAAACUGCUUUUAUAAGGGAAUAAAGUGGGUCACGUGUGACUUUUUGCAUGUACCUUAUGAAUAAGGACCGGCUAAUUCCGUG